GGGGGCUGGCCGGGCGCGGCGGUCCGCGGUGGAGAUGCGAGCGCCACUUUUCUUGCAAACCUAGAAAAGCCGUUCCUUUCUGCAAUAAUGCAGCACAAGUUUGAUAAACCUCUGAUGUAGACUGUCGUCAAAAUCCUGAGGAGAAAACAGAUGAAGAAAAUUGCCAGUGAGGUAGGUGAUAUCUUCUCUGUUUUACAAAGAAGAAAACUGAGAUCCGUGGACAUUAACCUGUUUCCAAGGUGACCCAGCUAGAAGGAAAUGAAGCUGAGAUUUGCUCCUACGUUAAUGGACUUCAGGUAAGUACUCUUAAUCACUGUGUAUUCUGUACCCACAACUGGUGAAGGAAACCUC
Molecule: long non-coding RNA, 351 nt
Organism: Leptonychotes weddellii (Weddell seal)
Lineage: Eukaryota; Metazoa; Chordata; Mammalia; Carnivora; Phocidae
Source: RefSeq, a predicted model, not a curated record